AACCCUUGUCCUUAGUUGCCUACCAUUUCGAGUUGGGCAACUCUAAGGAGACUGCCGGUGUUAAACCGGAGGAAGGUGGGGAUGACGUCAAGUCCUCAUGGCCCUUAUAUCCAGGGCUACACACGUGCUACAAUGGACCGGUACAAAGGGUCGCAAUACUGCGAGGUGGAGCUAAUCCCAAAAAGCCGGUCUCAGUUCGGAUUGGAGUCUGCAACUCGACUCCAUGAAGUCGGAAUCGCUAGUAAUCGCGUAUCAGCGUGACGCGGUGAAUACGUUCCCGGGCCUU
This 286-nucleotide ribosomal RNA is filed under the name uncultured Geothermobacter sp. RNAcentral's name for it is "partial 16S ribosomal RNA". It matches the Rfam family "Bacterial small subunit ribosomal RNA", at positions 1100 to 1382 of the family's 1533-position model. Lineage: Bacteria; Pseudomonadati; Thermodesulfobacteriota; Desulfuromonadia; Desulfuromonadales; Geothermobacteraceae. The record is from RNAcentral.